UACAGAGGUCUCAAGCGUUGUUCGGAUUCAUUGGGCGUAAAGGGUGCGCAGGCGGCGGGGCAAGUCGGACGUGAAAUCCCGGGGCUUAACCCCGGAACUGCGUUCGAUACUGCCUUGCUAGAGGACUGGAGAGGAGACUGGAAUUCCUGGUGUAGCAGUGAAAUGCGUAGAUAUCAGGAGGAACGCCAAUGGCGAAGGCAAGUCUCUGGACAGUUCCUGACGCUCAUGCACGAAGGCCAGGGGAGCAAACGGG
This 253-nucleotide ribosomal RNA is filed under the name uncultured prokaryote. RNAcentral describes it as "partial 16S ribosomal RNA". It matches the Rfam family "Bacterial small subunit ribosomal RNA", at positions 524 to 776 of the family's 1533-position model. The record is from RNAcentral.